Lathyrus oleraceus (garden pea) is the source of this 1888-nucleotide long non-coding RNA. RefSeq lists it as uncharacterized. Lineage: Eukaryota; Viridiplantae; Streptophyta; Magnoliopsida; Fabales; Fabaceae. The transcript is spliced from 4 exons. The record is from RefSeq and is a predicted model, not a curated record.
ACUUCGAAUAUUUCUUUAUCUUGAUUCUUCUUGAAAUUAUUCUCCUUCUUCUCUUCUCCUUUUCUCUUUUGAUUUGUUCAGAAGGUGAAUGCAAAUUGAGUGUUGUGAGGUUCUGGUGUUGAGAGGGUGAUGAAGUGUGAUGAAGAUUUGAUGGGGAUUGCAGGUUAGUGAUGAAGCUGCUUAGAGAGAAUUAUGUGAGGGCUUGUGAUUGGAUAUGAGUGAGAGUGAAAAAUGAAUGAUUUGAGGAUGUUUUGAUGAAUGAUUGAGGAUGAGGGUGAAUGAUGAUUCUCUCAAGUUUCAAAUGUAGAGUGAGAAUUGAAUGAUUUAUUAAGAGUUGUGUGAGAGUUUUUAUGAUGAAUCAUUGGCCUACUCAGAAUGAAAUGAUUGGAUCCAUUUAUAGUUGGUUAGGGCUUUGGAGUUUGUGAAAUUCGGUUAUGAAAUUGUGUUAGGAGUUGGUUAGAGUUUGUUAGGGAUUGUGGGAUUCAAUGCAAGUGGUUUGUUGUCCUGUUAUUCUGUUUUGUUGAUCCCUAGGCCAAGUUAGUUAGGUUUUAGUUAGAUUCUGUUAGGUUAAGUGAUGAGUGAGGUUAGUUGUUGUUGUUUUUUUGAAUUGACAUUAUUCAAUUGUGGGCUUGGUUAUAUUGUGAUGCCUCUCUAUGAUCCAGUUGUGUGACUUAGUCUGCAACAUGCUUCUUCUAAGGCCUGAAUGCUGCUAGGUGCAUUGGUAUGGUUGUAACCGGCCUCAUGUAUCCCUGCUCAUGGUUUAUGUUCUUUUCGUGUCCAACUGCAGUUUCGAUGCUUUAGUUGCAAUUGAUACAUUGCAGAUUCAUUUGUGAUGCACUGUGAAUUUGUUGGCUUUGCAGGUUUAGGCUUGUUAUUUGGAUUAUCUGGAGUGUUGUGUGAUGAUUAUCAUAGCCAUGAUGUGUAGCAUGUCUGCAUUAGGUUCAACUGCCAACGUAUGGUAAUUGGACAUUCAUGACCGCUUGAUGACUUAGCUGCGGGAUUGUAUGCAAUGUCGUGGUUGUGUGGAUUGUGCAUGUCUGAGUUUGCAACAGGUGUGGCGUAUGAUUCAUAUUUAUGUCUUGCCUGGAUUCUGAUCUAAACCUUGGCCUUUAUUGCAGGUUAGACUUAUACCAUGUUGCAUUUCCUUGGUCAUGUGCUUGAUGAUGCAACAUGUUUGGCUCGUGACUUGGCCCUUGUUGCAUGUUGUAGGUGUUUCUAAAUAUUGAAGUGUUUGGUGUGUUGUGAGGCAAGGUUUGCAUUUUGUCUUGCCUUGUGAACUGAACUUGUUGCAGAUUUAGCAUGGUUGUAGUCAUGACUUGUUAGGCAUGGACUUGGCAAGGUUGUGGUUGUUGCAAGUUCCUGUUUUACUGCAGGUUUGUUGCAGGAUUUGGUGUGCCUUGGCUCAUGUUUAUGUUUUGCUUGUAGCAUGGUGCUUGGAAUGAGGCUUAUGGUUCAUUGCAUUUGGAUGAUUGAACAUGGUUUUCUUCUGACUUGGAUUUCUUUGAAUGAUUGGUCAUGGUUAUGUUUUGUUAGCAUUAUGUUUACAUGACUUUGUUAGAUGUAUGGUUGUAUGGUAUGCUUGUGAAUCUCUUGGUUCUUUUGUAGGAUGGUGCAAACAAUGGACAUAUCUUACACUUGAAUAAAUCAAAAAUAAUUCAAGAACAUAGAAGCAUGGUAGACACAAAGGGUUGGGAACAAGAAAUUAGGGUUUGAGGUGUAAGAUAGGACAGUUGACUUUGGUCAACUGGUUGACCAAAAAGUCAAUAGAUGACCAAAAGUCAACUUAGGUAGAAAAUGGUCAAAUCUUUGUAAUUUUUCCAAUGUAUAGACAUUUUGAUGAUUGUAAUUGAUAUUUGUUUAUGAAUGAAUGGAAAGAAUUAAAGUGAAA